GGGGCCGUAGCUCACCGGACAGAGCACUCCCCUCACGAAGGAGCGGUAGCGGGUUCGAUUCCCGCCGGCCUGCG
RNAcentral lists this transfer RNA (74 nucleotides) under Candidatus Dormiibacterota bacterium. Its description in RNAcentral is "tRNA-Val". It matches the Rfam family "tRNA". Rfam says of the family: Transfer RNA (tRNA) molecules are approximately 80 nucleotides in length. Their secondary structure includes four short double-helical elements and three loops (D, anti-codon, and T loops). Lineage: Bacteria; Bacillati; Candidatus Dormiibacterota. RNAcentral also lists the same sequence under 1 other name. The record is from RNAcentral.